Molecule: long non-coding RNA, 355 nt
Organism: Castor canadensis (American beaver)
Lineage: Eukaryota; Metazoa; Chordata; Mammalia; Rodentia; Castoridae
Source: RefSeq, a predicted model, not a curated record
CUGCAGUCAGGAGCUAGAUGGCAUCAAGCCAUUUACUUCUAGAACACCUCUCCCACCAAUUCAGCUUGAUUUCUGGUGUGAUACCUGUCUGGGCCAUGGUGGAGCACUGGCAUCCAUAGCGGCCCACCUCUAAGCUUCUGUCUACGCUGUCCAGAGACCCAGAAGUCUGGUUACAAGUCAUGAAGUUAUAAGCGCUGAGAAGACCGUGCUAGCCGGAGAAAAUGUUAGCCUGGCUCCAGGAGCAAAAUUAUGUCCAGCUACACCCUAAAACAUGGAUGAACCCUGAGUCUUAUGGAGGACAAAUUAGGCUAAGCCAGUUGCAAAAGGGUGAGUACUGGAGGGUUCCAGUUCUUCU